RNAcentral lists this ribosomal RNA (468 nucleotides) under uncultured bacterium. RNAcentral's name for it is "partial 16S ribosomal RNA". It matches the Rfam family "Bacterial small subunit ribosomal RNA", at positions 28 to 507 of the family's 1533-position model. The record is from RNAcentral.
GACGAACGCUGGCGGCGUGCUUAACACAUGCAAGUCGAACGGAAAGGCCCUGCUUUUGUGGGGUGCUCGAGUGGCGAACGGGUGAGUAACACGUGAGUAACCUGCCCUUGACUUUGGGAUAACUUCAGGAAACUGGGGCUAAUACCGGAUAGGAGCUCCUGCUGCAUGGUGGGGGUUGGAAAGUUUCGGCGGUUGGGGAUGGACUCGCGGCUUAUCAGCUUGUUGGUGGGGUAGUGGCUUACCAAGGCUUUGACGGGUAGCCGGCCUGAGAGGGUGACCGGCCACAAUGGGACUGAGGUACGGCCCAGAAUCCUACGGGAGGCAGCAGUGGGGAAUCUUGCACAAUGGGCGGAAGCCUGAUGCAGCAACGCCGCGUGCGGGAUGACGGCCUUCGGGUUGUAAACCGCUUUCGCCUGUGACGAAGCGUGAGUGACGGUAAUGGGUAAAGAAGCACCGGCUAACUACGUG